This is a non-coding RNA of Jaculus jaculus (lesser Egyptian jerboa), 583 nucleotides long. The record is from the annotation of a RefSeq genome assembly. NCBI's taxonomy places the organism in Eukaryota, Metazoa, Chordata, Mammalia, Rodentia, Dipodidae.
GGGCAGCAUGAUGGUGUCACAGACCCACAUCGUCGUGUCUCUGUUACUCUGGGUGUCUGGUGGUCGUGGGGACAUUGUGAUGACUCAGUCUCCAGGGUCCCUGACUGUGUCAUCAGGAGAGAGGACCAGCUUGAGUUGCAAGUCCAGCCAGAGUCUAUUAUCUGGCUCCUAUAACUACUUGGCCUGGUAUCAGCAGAAACCAAGACAGGCUCCUAAGCUGCUGAUCUACGGGGCAUCCACACGAGCAUCUGGAGUCCCUGAUCGGUUCAGUGGCAGUGGGUCUGGGACAGACUUCACUCUCACCAUCAGCAAUGUCCAGGCGGAAGAUGCGGCAGACUAUUACUGUCAGCAGUCUUAUAGUGCUCCUCCCACAGUGCUUCGGCCUCGAACACAAACUUCCUCGAAGAGUAUCACCAGCUGCUUAGACGCCACAUGACCCUGAACACUUCCUCCAUCUGCCUGAGAGCCAGUGGGCAAGACUCAUCAAUGAGAAAGCCUGAAGAGUUCACCAGAAAAUGAUGUGUCCCCUAGAUCCUUGGUCUUUAGAUUAAAAAAAAAAAAUCUGGCCGGGCAUGGUGGCGCA